ACCUCCCACCCGUGUCUAUCGUACCUUGUUGCUUCGGCGGGCCCGCCGUUUCGACGGCCGCCGGGGAGGCCUUGCGCCCCCGGGCCCGCGCCCGCCGAAGACCCCAACAUGAACGCUGUUCUGAAAGUAUGCAGUCUGAGUUGAUUAUCGUAAUCAGUUAAAACUUUCAACAACGGAUCUCUUGGUUCCGGCAUCGAUGAAGAACGCAGCGAAAUGCGAUAAGUAAUGUGAAUUGCAGAAUUCAGUGAAUCAUCGAGUCUUUGAACGCACAUUGCGCCCCCUGGUAUUCCGGGGGGCAUGCCUGUCCGAGCGUCAUUGCUGCCCUCAAGCACGGCUUGUGUGUUGGGCCCCCGUCCCCCUCUCCCGGGGGACGGGCCCGAAAGGCAGCGGCGGCACCGCGUCCGGUCCUCGAGCGUAUGGGGCUUUGUCACCUGCUCUGUAGGCCCGGCCGGCGCCAGCCGACACCCAACUUUAUUUUUCUAAGGUUGACCUCGGAUCAGGUAGGGAUACCCGCUGAACUUAAGCAUAUCAA
Molecule: ribosomal RNA, 532 nt
Filed under: Aspergillus fumigatus
Lineage: Eukaryota; Fungi; Ascomycota; Eurotiomycetes; Eurotiales; Aspergillaceae
Description: eukaryotic LSU rRNA
Rfam family: 5.8S ribosomal RNA (bases 162-315)
Source: RNAcentral